GGGUUAGGAAAAAGGAAAAAAAAUUUUAGGUUAGUCUUUAUUCUAUUAAGUAAUAAUAAGCAAUAAAAUAUACCUUUGAAAUUUUAAUUUUGAUCAAGUGGACAAAAUUGCAAAUAAUUUUUCAAAUAAGGUUAAAAUUGAAAAAAAAAAAAACAGAGAGAAUUUGCACAAAAACACCAUUCAUUUAAUAAAUACAUUCACAAAGCAAGCUACUAGUAGAUUCCGUAAUUGCAACUGAACAAUAAAGUAGCCAAUUCCAAGAAAAACAGGGAACAAUACCAACAAGUUUGAAGCAUAUCAAUAAUUAGCAAGGGCUAAUAAAACAACCUCCAGCCAGCUUUGCCGCAUCAAGUAUCAGGAGAUCGACAAAGCCAGAUCUCCAGUUGAUUGAUGGUAUUUGAAUCUCUCAUGUACUUCUAUCCAUCAAUAGCACUUUGACACUUUGUCCAAAGCAUCAAAAACACCUUGCAAAGUUACCUCCUCCACAAUCACCACUUUGUCUCUUGAUUUAGUACCUGCACCUAUGGAUAGCUGUCUUCUUUUCACACCUAAUACAGAACUAAUAUAAUCAAGGAGAGCGGCGUUAGCUUCACCGUCCUUGGCAGGGGCAUCUAUUUGCACCCCUAACGCUUCAUC
Molecule: unclassified non-coding RNA, 636 nt
Filed under: Hevea brasiliensis (rubber tree)
Lineage: Eukaryota; Viridiplantae; Streptophyta; Magnoliopsida; Malpighiales; Euphorbiaceae
Source: RNAcentral